UACGUAGGGUGCAAGCGUUAAUCGGAAUUACUGGGCGUAAAGCGUGCGCAGGCGGAUGGGAAAGUCGAUUGUGAAAUCCCUGGGCUCAACCUAGGAAUUGCAGUCGAAACUUCCCAUCUUGAGUGCCUGAGAGGAUGGCGGAAUUCCCGGUGUAGUAGUGAAAUACGUAGAUAUCGGGAAGAACACCUGAGGCGAAGGCGGCUAUCUGGCGGUGCACUGACGCUGAGGCGCGAAAGCGUGGGGAGCAAACAGG
Molecule: ribosomal RNA, 253 nt
Filed under: uncultured bacterium
Lineage: Bacteria
Description: partial 16S ribosomal RNA
Rfam family: Bacterial small subunit ribosomal RNA
Source: RNAcentral